AGAGUUUGAUCCUGGCUCAGAACGAACGCUGGCGGCGUGGAUAAGGCAUGCAAGUCGAACGCGAAAGGGACCUUCGGGUCCUGAGUAGAGUGGCAAACGGGUGAGUAACACGUGGGCAACCUUCCUCCAGGAGGGGGACAACCCUCGGAAACGAGGGCUAAUACCGCAUAACAUCGGAGAAUCUCAUGGUUUUCCGAUCAAACGGUGGGGAUCUUCGGACCUGCCGCCUGGAAAUGGGCCCGCGCCCGAUUAGCUAGUUGGCGAGGUAAAGGCUCACCAAGGCUUCGAUCGGUAACCGGCCUGAGAGGGCGAUCGGUCACACCGGAACUGAGACACGGUCCGGACUCCUACGGGAGGCAGCAGUGGGGAAUCUUGCGCAAUGGGCGAAAGCCUGACGCAGCAACGCCGCGUGGAGGAUGAAGGCCCUUGGGUUGUAAACUCCUGUCGGUUGGGAAGAAAUCGUUCGGGGCUAAUACCUCCGGACGUUGACUGUACCAGCAAAGGAAGCCCCGGCUAACUCUGUGCCAGCAGCCGCGGUAAUACAGAGGGGGCCAGCGUUAUUCGGAAUUAUUGGGCGUAAAGGGCGCGUAGGCGGCUUUGCGUGUCUUUCGUGAAAUCCCUCGGCUUAACUGAGGACGUGCGGAAGAAACUGCAGAGCUGGAGUCCGGGAGAGGGGGGUGGAAUUCCCAGUGUAGCGGUGAAAUGCGUAGAUAUUGGGAGGAACACCGGUGGCGAAGGCGGCCCCCUGGACCGGUACUGACGCUGAGGCGCGAAAGCGUGGGUAGCAAACGGGAUUAGAUACCCCGGUAGUCCACGCCGUAAACGAUGGGCACUUGGUGUCGCGGGUAUCGACCCCUGCGGUGCCGAAUCUAACGCAUUAAGUGCCCCGCCUGGGAGUACGGUCGCAAGGCUGAAACUCACACGGAAUUGACCG
Molecule: ribosomal RNA, 934 nt
Filed under: uncultured bacterium
Lineage: Bacteria
Description: bacterial SSU rRNA
Rfam family: Bacterial small subunit ribosomal RNA
Source: RNAcentral